This is a long non-coding RNA of Cucurbita moschata (crookneck pumpkin), 2711 nucleotides long. RefSeq lists it as uncharacterized. NCBI's taxonomy places the organism in Eukaryota, Viridiplantae, Streptophyta, Magnoliopsida, Cucurbitales, Cucurbitaceae. The record is from RefSeq and is a predicted model, not a curated record. The transcript has 6 exons.
AGAGGACAAUACCGGCUAGCGGUGGGUUUCGGCGGUUACGAAUGGUAUCAGAGCUAGACACCAAGUAGUGUGUCAGCGAGACACUGAGUCCCAAGGGGGUGGACACCGGGCGGUGCAUAGAGAGGACACUAGAGCUAGAAGGGGGUAGAUUGUGAGAUCCCACGUCGGUUGGAGAGCGAAUCGAAUAUUGUUUACAAGUAGAAACCUCCCCAAUAGAUACAUGUUUUCUUAAAUGAUAGAGACCCAAAUUAACGAAAGCCAAAGGGACAAUUCCAAAAUAGCAUUUAAACCUUUAAAACUCAAAGACUCUCAUACAAAUUUCAUACUAUACUAAUCGUCUCUGUUUGUUUGUCAAUAUCCAUUGAUUUCUGUAAUACAUUCGGAUUUUGUUAUGAACUGAAGUUGCAGGAAAUGAGGAUUUGAAUGUCUACUUCUACGACUACGAGUUCUAUGAUUCGACACGAGCUAAACAUACUUGUGCGAACUAGCUACAGAUUCUCUCUAAGACAACUUCAGCAGAUAGUUUUUUGCUUAGAUUUGGACAUGGAUCGCCUCCGAAGAUGCUCGUUGGUACGGUUGCCAGGCAUCUCUGUCGACCAACACAUAGCUGGAAAAGACGGUAUAAAUUAGGAACUUAGUAUUGUAGUUUGAAGUUUUGAUCUUGUCGAUUACAGAUCAAUCAUCAAGACAAUAUUUGAAAAGGUUCCUUGCUGAAGAUUUCCACAAGCUCCACUUGGAGUUCCAAAGCUGACAAAUUUGAUAGCUGAAAUGAACUGCCUAGCUGCACAAUGCAGGGCGAUACUCAGAUGCCUCGGUACAAAUGCUUGUAAUUGAUCUCUUUACAAGAGUGAUCCCUGAAGGAUUCCCGCCCAUCUCCUCAAAAACCACAAUUAAAUUUCUUGAUGGCAUCAACCAAGAUCGAGGAACGUGGUACCUAAAUGAUUAACAUAUCAAAUAAAACGCAGAAUUUAGUGUUCGUCCUAUGUCCAAUGUUUAGCAUCUGUAAAUGGUAGAUGUAAAGAACUUGCCAUUGUUGAGUCGGAUGACCACACCCAGAUUGGCAUUUGUUUGGGCGGUAUGUACCCGAGUAGCUGCAAUCAGUGCAGUUUCCAUUGGCAUGGACAGUCCAGUAUCUUCCAAUAUUCUUCCCGUUUAUCCAUACUUGACCCUUCUGCAUACUACUCAUGUCUAAAGCCAAAGGUUCGUCUCCUUCGGGCACAUUGAAAUAAGCCUGCAAGUUGAAGCAAAAUAGUGUCAACAAUGGUUCUCGAAUCUGAACGAUGAUGAGAGUUAUAGACUCUGUAGAAGAAUGAAGAAUUCUAGUUCUUCAGAACCAUUGCAGUCAAGCUUCAACCAUGUACCUUAUACCAAGUAAGCGGCUGUGUGUUUUCUUUUACCGAUGAAUCCCAUACCCAAUCAACUGCUGGAAUAGAGCUUAGAGAACCCAAGUUCAUGGCUUCUCCUUCCAGACCAACCUGUCAAACAGGAAAAACAUAAGGAAACUAGUGGAGUGCAUAGAAACACUGAGAAAUGUGGUUGCAUUUGCAGACCUUAUAUGACCAUGUCUGUCUAGAUAAGUCCAUCGUUCCCUUGUCCAGCCCAUGUAUAGCAACUGGUCCAAGCACUCCCAUUUCUCUCAUCUCAAAAUGAGGACCGUUGUUCUUCAUCCACCAACAAGGAAAAGAACAUCAAACAAAGAUAAACCAGAGUUGUGACAAACUUCAUUUAGAUUAAGAUUUUUCAUUUUCGUGAGAUUAGAGCCCUAAGUAUAACAUUCUUAGCAACCAUGAGAAGAGAGUUGCAUAAAGAAGAUGGACUGUUUGUUUCAAGUCUGAUUUCAGAAUUCUGAUCAGGUAAUUUACUUCUAGGAAUUGAUUAGUGAAUCAUAGUUCAUAUGAUCAGGGACUAGAAAACUAACUGGCAAUCCAGCAGCCAUGCUUAACAGAGAAACUCUGUUUACUCCAGCUUGCAACUGAAUUCUUCCCGUGAACUUAAAUUUACUGCUGUCAUGGUUCCCGAAGCUCGAUCCUGCGUUGAGGAAAGGUAUUGCCUAAUCAGAAUCAGCUCGGCAGAAAGGCAUACACAAAAGCAUAGAAGUUGAGGUAAGAGAUUCGAUGAUUCACCAGUUAGCUUUCCAUUAAUGAAUACAUGCAUGCCAUGACCAGUUGAUCCCGCAACGAGAGUAGGAAGCCUCCCUCCACGCAGGAAGGAUUCGUUUGAAUCUACCUUGACACUGGAAAAAUCCAGGUAAUAAAUAUGUUUUCAUUAUGUAAUCGUUCUCUAUGUUAUAUAUAUAAUCUAAGCACCAUUUUUACCUGGUUGUAUACCAAAGAUAGUCGGUGGUGUCUCUAGUGAUGUUUAGUUGCUCCAAAAGACCACCAUAUGACAUCAAUGGACCAUCUUCAAUCGAAGAUAUGUCUUCAUUAAAAGUCUCCCACGAAAACGGUUCAACAUUCGUCGGUGAAAAUGACAUCUGGUUUAUUUGAACUUCAACCUGGAGCAUGAAGAAUUAGGAUUUACCUUGGAUCAUUCAAGUAGUCUUGACCAAACUAUCUUAUGGAGUGAUUCGAAUCAUGAGUUUAGAAACAAUUUUUCUUUACGCUUGAUCUUGAUCAUCGAGAUGAAGUCCAAUGAUAGUUCGAUAGAAAAGCGGCGCAAUCUCCUGAGCUAGAAGAGAAUACCUUUGCCUGAAACAUGUCAAGAUUCAAUCA